RNAcentral lists this unclassified non-coding RNA (520 nucleotides) under uncultured Glomus. RNAcentral's name for it is "SSU rRNA". It matches the Rfam family "Eukaryotic small subunit ribosomal RNA", at positions 569 to 1094 of the family's 1831-position model. Lineage: Eukaryota; Fungi; Glomeromycota; Glomeromycetes; Glomerales; Glomeraceae. The record is from RNAcentral.
AGCAGCCGCGGUAAUUCCAGCUCCAAUAGCGUAUAUUAAAGUUGUUGCAGUUAAAAGCUCGUAGUUGAAUUUCGGGGUUAGUAGGUUGGUCAUGCCUCUGGUAUGUACUGGUCUCACUGAUUCCUCCUUCCUGAUGAACCUUAAUGCCAUUAAUUUGGUGUUUUGGGGAAUUUGGACUGUUACUUUGAAAAAUUAGAGUGUUUAAAGCAAGCUAACGCUUGAAUACAUUAGCAUGGAAUAAUGAAAUAGGACGUUCGAUCCUAUUUUGUUGGUUUCUAGGAUUGACGUAAUGAUUAAUAGGGAUAGUUGGGGGCAUUAGUAUUCAAUUGUCAGAGGUGAAAUUCUUGGAUUUAUUGAAGACUAACUACUGCGAAAGCAUUUGCCAAGGAUGUUUUCAUUAAUCAAGAACGAAAGUUGGGGAUCGAAGACGAUCAGAUACCGUCGUAGUCUUAACCAUAAACUAUGCCGACUAGGGAUCGGAUGAUGUUAAUUUUUAAUGACUCAUUCGGCGCCUUACGGG